Molecule: ribosomal RNA, 423 nt
Filed under: Triticum aestivum (bread wheat)
Lineage: Eukaryota; Viridiplantae; Streptophyta; Magnoliopsida; Poales; Poaceae
Description: partial small subunit ribosomal RNA
Source: RNAcentral
AUGUUGAUGGAGUUAUCUCUGGCAAGUUCACACACGGCAAGUUUUACUAUUAUCAAUGGAAGAAGUUCUGAUAUGUCCACCACUGAGGCCAGACCAGUAGGCCAUAUGGGUUGCUUCUUGAUUCUAACCACGAAGAAUUUUAUUUUGUUAGGAAGGGUUCAUUUUCUCUCUUCCGGUGUUUGGAAGAUCUGGAGCAACUUAUUUAUGGUUCUUCAGAUGAAUGGGGGAAAUCUCGGUGGUGUUGGAAUGAACUUACUGGACGACAUACCUGACUCUGGAACCCUCAUUGAAGUCCUUAGGUGCAUGUGCCAUAUAUUAAAGAAACUGGCUAACGUGUUUGCUCACCCCAUUCACAAACAUGGAGGCAAGUGCCUGUCGUGCCCAAGUUUAGGCAAGAGUGGCUGCACAUGUGGGGUCUGUUGA